Molecule: transfer RNA, 61 nt
Filed under: uncultured Treponema sp.
Lineage: Bacteria; Pseudomonadati; Spirochaetota; Spirochaetia; Treponematales; Treponemataceae
Rfam family: tRNA
About the family: Transfer RNA (tRNA) molecules are approximately 80 nucleotides in length. Their secondary structure includes four short double-helical elements and three loops (D, anti-codon, and T loops).
Source: RNAcentral
AGUAGCUAAGUGGUUAAGCGUCAGUCUAAUAAACUGAAGUUCGCGGGUUCGAUCCCCGCCU